UAUGUGAUCGUCUCUCGCAUAUCAAUAAGCGGAGGAAAAGAAACUAACAAGGAUUCCCCUAGUAACGGCGAGUGAAGCGGGAAGAGCUCAAAUUUGAAAUCUUAAAGGGUUUCCCUUUACGAAUUGUAGUUUAAAGAAGUGUUUUCUGUUGAGGUUUUGGUAAAAGUUCUUUGGAAUAGGACAUCAUAGAGGGUGAGAAUCCCGUAUUUGACCUUUACUUUCAACUUUGUGAUACACUUUCAAAGAGUCGGAUUGUUUGGGAAUGCAGUCCAAAAUGGGUGGUAAAUUUCAUCUAAAGCUAAAUAUUGGCGAGAGACCGAUAGCGAACAAGUACCGUGAGGGAAAGAUGAAAAGAACUUUGAAAAGGAGAGUUAAACAGUACGUGAAAUUGUCAAAAGGGAAGCGUUUGACACCAGUGUUGUUUUUCUGAAAAUCAAUUAAAGAACUGUUUAUGCUAAGUUGUUUAGACUUUAUCAGCUAACUGUUUAGUUUUGAGCUUUUCUUUAAUGCACUUUUCAGUUAACAAGUCAACAUCAAUUUCUUUUGCUGUAAAAAAGCUUGAGGAAGGUGGCUUGAGAUUCGUCUUAAGUGUUUAUAGCCUCUUGCCUAUGCAGUCGGAGAGAUUGAGGUCUGCAGCGUAGAUCCUUCGGGGCUAAAUGCAUUUGUGCUAAGUUAUAGCAUUUUAUAGACAACUUGUUGACUAUGAUUUGUCUUGUAGCUUACUCGCUUAUGUUAUUUUACCUACGCUUAGGAUGUUGAAGAUAUGCGCGACACG
RNAcentral lists this ribosomal RNA (775 nucleotides) under uncultured Neocallimastigales. Its description in RNAcentral is "partial large subunit ribosomal RNA". It matches the Rfam family "Eukaryotic large subunit ribosomal RNA", at positions 24 to 644 of the family's 3401-position model. The record is from RNAcentral. Lineage: Eukaryota; Fungi; Neocallimastigomycota; Neocallimastigomycetes; Neocallimastigales.